GAUGAAGAACGCAGUGAAAUGCGAUAAGUAAUGCGAAUUGCAGAAUUCAGUGAGUCAUCGAAUCUUUGAACGCACAUUGCGCCCUGUGGUAUUCCGCAGGGCAUGCCUGUUCGAGCGUCAUUUCAACCCUCAAGCUCUGCUUGGUGUUGGGCCCUGCCCGCUGCGGCCGGCCCUAAAGAUAGUGGCGGUGCCGCCUGGCCCUGAGCGUAGUACAUCUCUCGCUCCAGUGCCCGGUGGUAGCCUGCCAGAACCCCAACUCUCGUGGUUGACCUCGGAUCAGGUAGGGAUACCCGCUGAACUUAAGCAUAUCAAUAAGCGGAGGA
RNAcentral lists this unclassified non-coding RNA (323 nucleotides) under soil metagenome. RNAcentral describes it as "partial contains 5.8S ribosomal RNA, internal transcribed spacer 2, and large subunit ribosomal RNA". The stretch from base 1 to 120 matches the Rfam family "5.8S ribosomal RNA", at positions 35 to 154 of the family's 154-position model. The record is from RNAcentral.